This 68-nucleotide transfer RNA is filed under the name marine eukaryotic metagenome. It matches the Rfam family "tRNA". Rfam says of the family: Transfer RNA (tRNA) molecules are approximately 80 nucleotides in length. Their secondary structure includes four short double-helical elements and three loops (D, anti-codon, and T loops). The record is from RNAcentral.
AGCAUAGCUCAGUUGGCCAGAGCAGCUGAUUUGUAAUCAGCCGGUCGGGGGUUCGAAUCCCUCUGCUG